GAUGAACGCUGGCGGCGUGCCUAAUACAUGCAAGUCGAGCGAACGGAUAAGAAGCUUGCUCCUCUGAUGUUAGCGGCGGACGGGUGAGUAACACGUGGGUAACCUACCUAUAAGACUGGGAUAACUUCGGGAAACCGGAGCUAAUACCGGAUAAUAUUUUGAACCGCAUGGUUCAAUAGUGAAAGAUGGUUUUGCUAUCACUUAUAGAUGGAUCCGCGCCGUAUUAGCUAGUUGGUAAGGUAACGGCUUACCAAGGCAACGAUACGUAGCCGACCUGAGAGGGUGAUCGGCCACACUGGAACUGAGACACGGUCCAGACUCCUACGGGAGGCAGCAGUAGGGAAUCUUCCGCAAUGGGCGAAAGCCUGACGGAGCAACGCCGCGUGAGUGAUGAAGGUCUUCGGAUCGUAAAACUCUGUUAUUAGGGAAGAACAUACGUGUAAGUAACUGUGCACAUCUUGACGGUACCUAAUCAGAAAGCCACGGCUAACUACGUG
Molecule: ribosomal RNA, 497 nt
Filed under: uncultured bacterium
Lineage: Bacteria
Description: partial 16S ribosomal RNA
Rfam family: Bacterial small subunit ribosomal RNA
Source: RNAcentral